GCCGGGUGUGGUGGCAUGCGCCUGUAAUCCCAGCUACUUGGGAGGCUGAGGGAGAAGAAUCGCUUGAACCCUGCAGGUGGAGGUUGCAGUGAGCCAAGAUCAUGCCACUGCACUCCAGCCUGGGUGAAAGAGUGAGACUCUUUUUUUUUUUUUUUUUUUGAGACAGAGUCUCAUUCUGUCACCCAGGCUGGAGUGCAGUAGCGUGAUCUCGGCUCACUGCAACCUCUGCCUCCCCGGUUCAAGUGAUUCCCCUGCCUCA
This 259-nucleotide small RNA is filed under the name Pan troglodytes (chimpanzee). Its description in RNAcentral is "Metazoan signal recognition particle RNA (ENSPTRG00000044216.1)". The record is from RNAcentral. Lineage: Eukaryota; Metazoa; Chordata; Mammalia; Primates; Hominidae.